This 469-nucleotide ribosomal RNA is filed under the name uncultured Alphaproteobacteria bacterium. RNAcentral describes it as "bacterial SSU rRNA". It matches the Rfam family "Bacterial small subunit ribosomal RNA", at positions 9 to 524 of the family's 1533-position model. The record is from RNAcentral. Lineage: Bacteria; Pseudomonadati; Pseudomonadota; Alphaproteobacteria.
GAGUUUGAUCGUGGCUCAGAACGAACGCUGGCGGCAGGCCUAACACAUGCAAGUCGAACGCCCUAGCAAUAGGGAGUGGCAGACGGGUGAGUAACGCGUGGGAACCUUCCCAGUGGUACGGAAUAGCCCAGGGAAACUUGGAGUAAUACCGUAUAAUACCCGAAAGGGGAAAGAUUUAUCGCCAUUGGAUGGGCCCGCGUUGGAUUAGCUAGUUGGUGAGGUAAUGGCUCACCAAGGCGACGAUCCAUAGCUGGUCUGAGAGGAUGAUCAGCCACACUGGGACUGAGACACGGCCCAGACUCCUACGGGAGGCAGCAGUGGGGAAUAUUGGGCAAUGGGCGAAAGCCUGACCCAGCCAUGCCGCGUGAGUGACGAAGGCCUUAGGGUUGUAAAGCUCUUUUGGCGGGACGAUAAUGACGGUACCCGCAGAAUAAGCCCCGGCUAACUUCGUGCCAGCAGCCGCUGUAAC